RNAcentral lists this ribosomal RNA (750 nucleotides) under uncultured bacterium. Its description in RNAcentral is "bacterial SSU rRNA". It matches the Rfam family "Bacterial small subunit ribosomal RNA", at positions 88 to 821 of the family's 1533-position model. The record is from RNAcentral.
AAAGCGAGCGGCGGAUGGGUGAGUAACACGUGGGGAACCUGCCCCAUAGUCUGGGAUACCACUUGGAAACAGGUGCUAAUACCGGAUAAGAAAGCAGAUCGCAUGAUCAGCUUUUAAAAGGCGGCGUAAGCUGUCGCUAUGGGAUGGCCCCGCGGUGCAUUAGCUAGUUGGUAAGGUAAAGGCUUACCAAGGCGAUGAUGCAUAGCCGAGUUGAGAGACUGAUCGGCCACAUUGGGACUGAGACACGGCCCAAACUCCUACGGGAGGCAGCAGUAGGGAAUCUUCCACAAUGGACGCAAGUCUGAUGGAGCAACGCCGCGUGAGUGAAGAAGGUUUUCGGAUCGUAAAGCUCUGUUGUUGGUGAAGAAGGAUAGAGGUAGUAACUGGCCUUUAUUUGACGGUAAUCAACCAGAAAGUCACGGCUAACUACGUGCCAGCAGCCGCGGUAAUACGUAGGUGGCAAGCGUUGUCCGGAUUUAUUGGGCGUAAAGCGAGCGCAGGCGGAAGAAUAAGUCUGAUGUGAAAGCCCUCGGCUUAACCGAGGAACUGCAUCGGAAACUGUUUUUCUUGAGUGCCGAACAGGAGAGUGGAACUCCAUGUGUAGCGGUGGAAUGCGUAGAUAUAUGGAAGAACACCAGUGGCGAAGGCGGCUCUCUGGUCUGCAACUGACGCUGAGGCUCGAAAGCAUGGGUUAGCGAAACAGGAUUAGAUACCCUGGUAGUCCAUGCCGUAAACGAUGAAGUGCUAAGU